UACGUAGGGUGCGAGCGUUGUCCGGAUUUAUUGGGCGUAAAGGGCUCGUAGGCGGCGUGUCGCGUCGGGGAGUGAAAAGCCCGUUGCUUAACGGCGGGUUGGCUUUCGGUACGGGCAUGCUGGAGUGCGGCAGGGGGAGACUGGAAUUCCUGGUGUAGCGGUGGAAUGCGCAGAUAUCAGGAGGAACACCGGUGGCGAAGGCGGGGUCUCUGGGCCGUUACUGACGCUGAGGAGCGAAAAGCGUGGGGGAGCGAACAGG
RNAcentral lists this ribosomal RNA (259 nucleotides) under uncultured bacterium. RNAcentral describes it as "partial 16S ribosomal RNA". It matches the Rfam family "Bacterial small subunit ribosomal RNA", at positions 524 to 776 of the family's 1533-position model. The record is from RNAcentral.